UAAGCUCAUCAUAUGAUAUGGAUAUCAUCGAAUAAACAAUAAUUAAUGCAUUCCCUGCACAUUUUUUUUGGCUGAUGGAAUUAAGCAACCUUUGAUAAAACUGCCUUUGCUUUGAUUUUUCCCACCUCUUUUUGCUCUUUCUGUUCUUAUAAACAUUUAUACUGGAGAUAUAUUAAAUAAUUUGAGAGCACAACAUGUUGGUUAAGAAGAAAAAUUUGAAGAUUUGUUGGUAGGUUAAAAAAAUUAUUAAAUACAGUUUUCAUGAUACAUAUUAGGUUUUGACCUAUAGUAAAUGUUCCUUGAUAGCCAUGAUCUUUAGGGUUUAUCUUGUUCUGUUGAGAUACUUGUGGAACUAACUGUAGUACUGUCAGUUGAUGCGUGACUAUUGCUAUAUGCAUACUUUUCUGUUAUAUAUUAACUUUCACAUACCUGUCUGCCUUUAUGAGUGUAUACAUAUCUUUUCCCUUCCUUUCUGCAUGUUUUCUUUUGGGAAAAUAUUACCAAAGGUAUUCUUGAUACAAGUCUUUCUGGUUUAGGGACUAAUCCCUCAACUGUUUGAUGAUGUUUAUUGGUUUAUAGUGGUUGAUGAAUAGCCAUUUGUUGAUUAAAUUCACUACAUUUUCCAUAAACCAGAAAUAAUUUUUUUAAGAAUUCCUUCUUUAUGAUUUUUCCGUUUUUUAAAUUGAAGUAAUGUUAUCGUUACAAUGAGUGGCUAGGUGCCUGUAAUUGGGGGAUAUUUUUUUCAAAAAAGAAGAAAACCCCCUUAAAAAUCCCUCCUCAUAUUUGAUAGGGGAGUUCUUUUGUAAAAGGGAUGGGAAAAACACAAAAACCAUGAAAAGUUCCUAUCACAUAGCAACUAUGAAGUACAAACUCCCAUGGAGUUAGGAGGCAUGUUCCUUUGUCUGACACCCGUAUGACACGUGUACUCGUCUCCAACAACUCAAAUGAGUGUCACAAUUUUUUUCCCCAUUCGUGUCAGGUGUCCGUGCUUCAUAAUAUAACAAUAGCAAGGACAUGAAGCACCUUGACAGUAUCACUAAGAAUAACUGCAGCGUCUAAGGACCAAUCUUACAGUAUACCGAACCUGCAAGCAACUUAUUCCAAACAACUGUGCCAACAAACCACCUAGUGGCUGAGAUUUCAACUCUGAAACAGAAAAAAAGAAUCAGGGGAAUGAGGAUAUCUUAAUGAUCUAUAAUAUGUAAUAUAUAAUUAGUAUUAUUCCUAUAAAUUGCCAUUGUCCUAAGUCCUAACAGAAGAAUUGUCCUAAGUCCUAACAGAAGAAUUGUCCUUAGAAGGAGCUUCUAUUUUCCUAAGGGUUUAGUAACAACAUUGGUGUGGAUAGCGGGAUGUCCUGAAAGCAAUAAUAAUUGCCUUUUGUGGUCAAGAUGAUCACACUCUGCCUUUGUCUCUCCA
This is a long non-coding RNA of Lathyrus oleraceus (garden pea), 1416 nucleotides long. RefSeq lists it as uncharacterized. The transcript has 2 exons. The record is from RefSeq and is a predicted model, not a curated record. Lineage: Eukaryota; Viridiplantae; Streptophyta; Magnoliopsida; Fabales; Fabaceae.